ACCGCAGACCGCCUUAUCGUCGUCCCGAUUUAUCGGGAGGGAGGAAAGUCCGGACACCACAGAGAAGCAUAGCGGGUAACGCCCGUCGGUGUUAGAAAUAACGCAAGGACAAGUGCAGCAGAAAGUAUGUACAGGUAAUGCUGUAGUGAAACCAGGUAAACUCUAUGCGGUGAAAUACCAAGUAUAUCAGCAUUUAAGGGCUUCUCGUCCGUUGUUGAAGGGUAGGUAGCUUGAGUCCAACAGUAAUGUUGGAUCUAGAUAAAUGAUAAGGCUCUGAUUUAUCAGAGACAGAAUCCGGCUUAUAGGUCUGCAUUUUUU
This 318-nucleotide RNase P RNA is filed under the name Flavobacterium bizetiae. RNAcentral describes it as "RNase P RNA component class A". It matches the Rfam family "Bacterial RNase P class A". Rfam says of the family: Ribonuclease P (RNase P) is a ubiquitous endoribonuclease, found in archaea, bacteria and eukarya as well as chloroplasts and mitochondria. Its best characterised activity is the generation of mature 5'-ends of tRNAs by cleaving the 5'-leader elements of precursor-tRNAs. The record is from RNAcentral. Lineage: Bacteria; Pseudomonadati; Bacteroidota; Flavobacteriia; Flavobacteriales; Flavobacteriaceae.